AUACGGAGGGGGCUAGCGUUGUUCGGAAUUACUGGGCGUAAAGCGUACGUAGGCGGACUGAUCAGUUGGGGGUGAAAUCCCAGGGCUUAACCCUGGAACUGCCUUCAAUACUGUCAGUCUUGAGUCCGGAAGAGGUGAGUGGAAUUCCUGGUGUAGAGGUGAAAUUCAUAGAUAUCAGGAGGAACACCAGUGGCGAAGGCGGCUCACUGGUCCGGUACUGACGCUGAGGUACGAAAGCGUGGGGAGCAAACAGGAUUAGAAACCCGAGUAGUCC
RNAcentral lists this ribosomal RNA (274 nucleotides) under uncultured bacterium. Its description in RNAcentral is "partial 16S ribosomal RNA". It matches the Rfam family "Bacterial small subunit ribosomal RNA", at positions 523 to 796 of the family's 1533-position model. The record is from RNAcentral.